Molecule: ribosomal RNA, 1321 nt
Filed under: Cortinarius eufulmineus
Lineage: Eukaryota; Fungi; Basidiomycota; Agaricomycetes; Agaricales; Cortinariaceae
Description: eukaryotic LSU rRNA
Rfam family: Eukaryotic large subunit ribosomal RNA (bases 644-1321)
Source: RNAcentral
UUUAGAGGAAGUAAAAGUCGUAACAAGGUUUCCGUAGGUGAACCUGCGGAAGGAUCAUUAUUGAAAUAAACUUGAUAAGUUGAUGCUGGCUCUCUAGGGAGCAUGUGCACACUUGUCAUCUUUGUAUCUCCACCUGUGCACUUUUUGUAGACCUUGGGUAUCUCUCUGAUUGCUUUUUUAGCACUCAGGAUUUGAGGAUUGACUUUCUGUCUCUUCUUACAUUUCCAGGUCUAUGUUUCUUCAAUUACCCUGAUGUAUGUUUAUAGAAUGUAGUCAAAUGGGCCUUUGUGCCUAUAAAUUGAUACAACUUUCAGCAACGGAUCUCUUGGCUCUCGCAUCGAUGAAGAACGCAGCGAAAUGCGAUAAGUAAUGUGAAUUGCAGAAUUCAGUGAAUCAUCGAAUCUUUGAACGCACCUUGCGCUCCUUGGUAUUCCGAGGAGCAUGCCUGUUUGAGUGUCAUUAAUAUAUCAACCUUUUAGGUUGGAUGUGGGUUUGCUGGCCACUUUUGAGGUCAACUUCCCUUAAAUGCAUUAGCGGACAACAUUUUGCCAAAUGUUCAUUGGUGUGAUAAUUAUCUACGCUUUUGACAUUUAAGCAUGGUUCAGCUUCUAACAGUCCAUUGACUUGGACAAAUUUAUUAAUGUGACCUCAAAUCAGGUAGGACUACCCGCUGAACUUAAGCAUAUCAAUAAGCGGAGGAAAAGAAACUAACAAGGAUUCCCCUAGUAACUGCGAGUGAAGCGGGAAAAGCUCAAAUUUAAAAUCUGGCAGUCUUUGGCUGUCCGAGUUGUAAUCUAGAGAAGCAUUAUCCGCGCUGGACCGUGUACAAGUCUCCUGGAAUGGAGCGUCAUAGAGGGUGAGAAUCCCGUCUUUGACAYGGACUACCAGGGCUUUGUGAUGUGCUCUCAAAGAGUCGAGUUGUUUGGGAAUGCAGCUCAAAAUGGGUGGUAAAUUCCAUCUAAAGCUAAAUAUUGGCGAGAGACCGAUAGCGAACAAGUACCGUGAGGGAAAGAUGAAAAGAACUUUGGAAAGAGAGUUAAACAGUACGUGAAAUUGCUGAAAGGGAAACGCUUAAAGUCAGUCGCGUUGUCCAGGGAUCAACUCUUGCUUUUGCUUGGUGUAUUUUCUGGUCAAUGGGUCAGCAUCAAUUUUGACCAUUGGAAAAAGAUCAAGGGAAUGUAGCAUCUUUUAGAUGUGUUAUAGCCUUUGGUUGCAUACAUUGGUUGGGAUUGAGGAACUCAGCACGCCGCAAGGCCGAGUUUUUUUAACUACGUACGUGCUUAGGAUGCUGGCAUAAUGGCUUUAAUCGACCCGUCUUGAA